This 445-nucleotide ribosomal RNA is filed under the name uncultured bacterium. Its description in RNAcentral is "partial 16S ribosomal RNA". It matches the Rfam family "Bacterial small subunit ribosomal RNA", at positions 354 to 796 of the family's 1533-position model. The record is from RNAcentral.
GUGAGGAAUAUUGGUCAAUGGGCGAGAGCCUGAACCAGCCAAGUCGCGUGAAGGAAGAAGGAUCUAUGGUUCGUAAACUUCUUUUGCAGGGGAAUAAAGUGCGGGACGUGUCCUGUUUUGUAUGUACCCUGAGAAUAAGGAUCGGCUAACUCCGUGCCAGCAGCCGCGGUAAUACGGAGGAUCCGAGCGUUAUCCGGAUUUAUUGGGUUUAAAGGGUGCGUAGGUGGUUUGAUAAGUCAGCGGUGAAAGUUUGCAGCUUAACUGUAAAAAUGCCGUUGAAACUGUCGGACUUGAGUGUAAAUGAGGUAGGCGGAAUGCGUGGUGUAGCGGUGAAAUGCAUAGAUAUCACGCAGAACUCCGAUUGCGAAGGCAGCUUACUAAGCUACAACUGACACUGAAGCACGAAAGCGUGGGGAUCAAACAGGAUUAGAUACCCAUGUAGUCC